UACGGGGGGAGCAAGCGUUGUUCGGAUUUACUGGGCGUAAAGAGCUUGUAGGCGGUCUGUCGCGUCUGCUGUGAAAAUCCGGGGCUCAACCCCGGACUUGCAGUGGGUACGGGCAGACUAGAGUGUGGUAGGGGAGACUGGAAUUCCUGGUGUAGCGGUGAAAUGCGCAGAUAUCAGGAGGAACACCGAUGGCGAAGGCAGGUCUCUGGGCCACUACUGACGCUGAGAAGAGAAAGCAUGGGGAGCGAACAGG
This 253-nucleotide ribosomal RNA is filed under the name uncultured bacterium. RNAcentral's name for it is "partial 16S ribosomal RNA". It matches the Rfam family "Bacterial small subunit ribosomal RNA", at positions 524 to 776 of the family's 1533-position model. The record is from RNAcentral.